Molecule: non-coding RNA, 114 nt
Organism: Dendryphion nanum
Lineage: Eukaryota; Fungi; Ascomycota; Dothideomycetes; Pleosporales; Torulaceae
Source: the annotation of a GenBank genome assembly
GGGGAUGUAGUUCAGUGGUAGAGCAGCCAUAGUAGCACCCUCCCGGGAUACGAGAGUUCUCGCUCGAAAAGAGGUGUCUCAAGGCAAACCCUAGUUCGAUUCUAGGCAUCCCCC